GUAAUUUAUAGGGUUAGAUUCUAUAUAUUUGUGAUUUUUCUUUAAAGUAGGACAAUGAGGGCCUAUUAAUGUUACUAUAAGUUACAACUCCUUGAGGCUUGUGAACCGGUUCACAUGAUCCAAAUCACAGGUCACCGGCAACCUGGUUUAGUAAAAUAAAUGUUCCAAUAUGCAGACAACUAUAUGGUAUUGAAGAAACAAUCUUUAUCAGACAAUUGUGAUAUUUUGAGGCCAUUGAAUUUGGGUAUUUGGGUGGUAUUUUAUUGCAUUGAGGUAGUUAACAUAGCAUUGAUAAUUGAAACUAAUUAUUAUGCUCAUAAGGUCUUAGAAAAUUAUAGUGAUAAUUUUUAUUUCAUUACAGUAUGUUAAUAUUGUUUUGUCUGUAGG
Molecule: unclassified non-coding RNA, 387 nt
Filed under: Hevea brasiliensis (rubber tree)
Lineage: Eukaryota; Viridiplantae; Streptophyta; Magnoliopsida; Malpighiales; Euphorbiaceae
Source: RNAcentral